Molecule: long non-coding RNA, 781 nt
Filed under: Triticum aestivum (bread wheat)
Lineage: Eukaryota; Viridiplantae; Streptophyta; Magnoliopsida; Poales; Poaceae
Description: long non-coding RNA (TAES_LNC013897)
Source: RNAcentral
UAGCAUUCCAGGAUUCCCGCAAAUAAUAAUUAGCAUUCCGGUUCCAGGAACGAAUUUAAAGAUUAACACCAUUGUGUUCAUACCAACAAUAUGGAUUUAUAAUACUUAACAAGUACAAAUUUGAGUCCUCACUGUGUCAUGCGUCUGAAGAUCAGAACUAUGUCCAUAAAUCUGGGAUACAAAUGUGUAAUAAGGUGCCGAAGGCACAAGAAUUAGAUAUGGACCAAGUGCAGAUUCUAUUCAAGUAUAUGCUUCCAGAAUGCAUGGCAUAAAAUGUUCUUGAAUGUAUAUGAAAUCAGGCUUAGGUCAUCAGACAUCAGUUUUCUUCUUCUUUGGCACAAACUGUCGAGCCCAUAGAUGUUUUCCCCUGGUCAUGAACUUGACUCUCAUAUUCCCAUCUAGAACACGGAAGAGUGUCAUCUGUGAGUAAAAUGUAACGUGUGCGUACAGUGGUGGCCUACUUUCUAUUGGCUCCUCUACACUUAUUUCUUCAAUAUCUCCAUAGUGCCUGUGACAUGGAAGAAAUUAAUGAAACAAAAUUAGAAACUGCAUAUAUAGGCAAAACUAAUGAAAUGAAUUUAAUCUACUGAAUUUUCUCCUGAAAUUCAUUUUGCGUUCCUUAUUAUAUCCUUACAUGUCUUUUAUGUCAAUUAUAUGUAGCUAUCAAAUUGAUCACUUUAACUAGUAGAUUUCAGAUUUUGCGACGUCUAUUGAUCGCCAUCACAGAUUGAGGGGUUGGGGUGUAUGUCUUCACACCUCCCUUUAUGUGGACAUCACGACG